GUCGGGUCCAGUUGGGUUUGGGU
Molecule: non-coding RNA, 23 nt
Filed under: Arabidopsis thaliana (thale cress)
Lineage: Eukaryota; Viridiplantae; Streptophyta; Magnoliopsida; Brassicales; Brassicaceae
Source: RNAcentral